This 468-nucleotide ribosomal RNA is filed under the name uncultured bacterium. Its description in RNAcentral is "partial 16S ribosomal RNA". It matches the Rfam family "Bacterial small subunit ribosomal RNA", at positions 28 to 507 of the family's 1533-position model. The record is from RNAcentral.
GACGAACGCUGGCGGCGUGCUUAACACAUGCAAGUCGAACGGAAAGGCCCUGCUUUUGUGGGGUGCUCGAGUGGCGAACGGGUGAGUAACACGUGAGUAACCUGCCCUUGACUUUGGGAUAACUUCAGGAAACUGGGGCUAAUACCGGAUAGGAGCUCCUGCUGCAUGGUGGGGGUUGGAAAGUUUCGGCGGUUGGGGAUGGACUCGCGGCUUAUCAGCUUGUUGGUGGGGUAGUGGCUUACCAAGGCUUUGACGGGUAGCCGGCCUGAGAGGGUGACCGGCCACAAUGGGACUGAGGUACGGCCCAGACUCCUACGGGAGGCAGCAGGGGGGAAUAUUGCACAAUGGGCGGAAGCCUGAUACAGCAACGCCGCGGGCGGGAUGACGGCCUUCGGGUUGUAAACCGCUUUCGCCUGUGACGAAGCGUGAGUGACGGUAAUGGGUAAAGAAGCACCGGCUAACUACGUG